This is a long non-coding RNA of Cotesia glomerata, 1276 nucleotides long. RefSeq lists it as uncharacterized. The record is from RefSeq and is a predicted model, not a curated record. The transcript is spliced from 3 exons. Lineage: Eukaryota; Metazoa; Arthropoda; Insecta; Hymenoptera; Braconidae.
UACAUAAACAAGCUCUGAGAAAAUAUAUAUAACUAAUUUCGAUGUAUGAAAAAUACCUACGUUACAGUUACGAAUUAAAAAAUCUUGGCAAGCUGCAACACUUUUGUAAGAGCUCUUUGUUUUAUCUUCAUUAGAGUUUUUAUAAAAGGAAAUAAAUAUUGAUUAAGAGUCUGUUGGUGAGAUAAGCGUGGGUAGAUUUAUUACGAAUAAAUCUACUUUUGACGGAGUAUCUCUAAAUCCACGAACAUUCGGCGAACUUAAGAGUGCGUAUUUUCAGACCCAUUUGGUGGUGAAACCUCGAAUCGAGUGAUAGUGUUUCGCUAAUUUCAGCAGUGUUAAAUAGAUAUAUCCUAUGAAAGGGUUCCCGCAUUACGUACUGUUAACAAAAGACAUCCUUGUCCCGUCUGGGUGGCCGCUCGAUGGCAUAGAUAGGCUAGUGCUCACCUUGGCCGAAAAAAUAAUUAAUGAGAAUAAUAGUGUUAACUCUAUUUUGCAAGUAAAAGACGUUCCCGCGAAAUUAGUUACAUUAAUAAACAACGAUGAUUUUGUGUAUGUGUUUGAGCAAGUUUCUAUUACGUAAGUACUGUUGUGACGCUAAUUACCAAGGAUAGUGACGUGUUGAGGAAAAUAAGCAAGUGUGUUUCGUUUUCAUUUCAGAGAGACAGUGGGUUCUUAUCUUUACGAAAUAGUGCUACCGAAGGAAGAAGCGAGCAUCCGACGAAGAACAUUUAGCGGAAAUAGCUUUAUUAACCAAUCCUGGCCGGAUUACGCUAUCAGUGUCUCCACAAGAGCUCAAAAGACAUCAUAUUACUUGAUGCCACCACAUUUAGAGACGUCUUCACGGUUCUACUACUGUAGCUUCUGCAGUCAGUGAUACACCGAAAACCUCGCUGCAAUACAAAAUAAUUUAGCCGACUGUUUGUUAUUGCUUAUAAGUUGACCUGUGAACCGAUCAAGAUGCCCACAUCCAUCACAGACGCUACUUCAGUUGCGUACAAGGGUGCUUCCAUCAUGAGCCAGCACACUGAAGCUUCAGUACGUCGCCAAUCAUGGACACUAGAGGUUUCGCCCCAGAAGAGGAAUCAAAUUUGGGAACAACGUAAACUCUUUAUGAGGGACAUGCUUGUCAGUGCUACAGAUUCUUCGUGUAAAGUGACUGUGCUGCGACGAAGCAGCAGUGACCGAGCUAUGACGAAGGAUAAUACAAACCGUUCUUAAUUAAUAAUUAAUAUUUGUAAGUGUUUGUCUUUUAAGUUUAUAUUUAAAGUGCAGAUUA